RNAcentral lists this long non-coding RNA (1350 nucleotides) under Manacus vitellinus (golden-collared manakin). RNAcentral describes it as "lncRNA (ENSMVIG00005012537.1)". Lineage: Eukaryota; Metazoa; Chordata; Aves; Passeriformes; Pipridae. The record is from RNAcentral.
AUGGGUUGUGGUGCUGGGAAAUGGGUUGCCAGUCUCCUCGGUUAUGGCCAUCAGAACAAACCUCCUGACCCAGAAGCCUGGAGUGGAUGGGGUGAGGGUGGGACUUGACUGGCUCGUGGCUAUAAAGGUUUGCAGGGGUCGGCAGCACAGCAUCACCUUGCCCAGGGAGCGGGGAUGCUCCUGUCACCAGCUUGGGACCCCACCAGGCAGUCCAGUCCUGGCCAUUCCCACAGUUUUCCACUCAGGAGCCUAAAAUGGUCUCUCCUGGCUCUUGUUUGCUUUAAUUUGUCUUGUUCUUCCCCUCAGGAUGACACCAGGUACUGCUGUAGCUGCCUUCCCCAUGCUGCUUUUUUAAAUUUAGUGUGUAAAGGACAGUGAGUCCAGCUAUGAAUGCCCAGGUCUCUGCUAUACUUGAAACUUUUGUAGAGGGGGGGAAAAAAAGAAAACUCAAAAGAAAAUGAGUCUUUUUAUGUGCAGCUUCUGCAAAGCAAGUUGUAAAUUAAACAAAGCAGUAAUAUAUAAUGUUUCUGUUUUUUUAAUAUAUUUUUUUCUUCCAGCUGGGAACACAGAUGAGUCUCAGCUUUGGGAAGUGCACUGUUCCCGUCUGUGUAUAUUGUUAAUUAACAUUUCUCUGCUUGGGCACGUUAGGUCUCUUGCACUCCGAAAUGUUACUUUUCUUUAUAUGCAAACUGUUGAAAUAUUGUGAUCUGCUGUAUAAAAAAUAAACAAGAUGUAAACAUGAAAGAGCCAGGAGAGUUUACUUUAAAGGUUUCUUCUAAGAGGAGAGGGUGAGGCUGGGCUUGUUUGUCAGUAAAUAUUUACAUCGAUGUUCAUUUCUGCUUAAGUUAGCUGUGGAGGAUCAAUGGGGAACGCCCAAGCCUCGGCAUCUGAGCAGCAUCUCCUGUGCAACAACUCUUGAGUCACCCCACUUCCCCGUGCCUCAGUUUCCCUAAUCUGCAGAUGGGGCAAUUGCGGCACCGGGAUGGUGUGACUGGUCCCGCGGUGAGUCAUCUCCAAGGGGAAUGGCAGCCGAAACUGUACUGGGAGCCUUGCUGGUCCUGUCUCCUUCCUGAGCUGUCCUGUCCUGCCGUCCCCUGCAGUGGGAGCUCUGUAGUACUGACCUUGUGGUCACAACUGGGAGGGAGGCCUGAGAUCAAGACCAUGGGGCUGCAUCCGCAGGUGUCACAGAUCCAUCAGGCUCAAUCACUUGUCCUUUCCACUGCUGCCUCCACCCUCUGCUUGCCCCACUUUCUCAAAGGUGCCUGUGUGGGGGUGACAGUGCUGGGACACAUGUGGCCUGUGAUGAGGUACUGGGUACAUCUUGUUCCUGGGACUCCCAGGACCCAAUGA